This 828-nucleotide ribosomal RNA is filed under the name Pseudomonas sp. RNAcentral's name for it is "partial 16S ribosomal RNA". It matches the Rfam family "Bacterial small subunit ribosomal RNA", at positions 143 to 1001 of the family's 1533-position model. The record is from RNAcentral. Lineage: Bacteria; Pseudomonadati; Pseudomonadota; Gammaproteobacteria; Pseudomonadales; Pseudomonadaceae.
ACAACCUUUCAAAUGGAACAUCUAAUACCGACAUACGUACCUACGGGUACAAAGCAGGGGACCUUCGGGCCUUGCGCUAUCNGAUGAGCCUAUGUCGGAUUAUACUAUCCGGUGGGGUAAUGGCUCACCAUCGCGACGAUCCGUUAGCUGGUCUGAUGAGGAUGAUCGGCCACACGGGAACUGAGACUCGGCCCAAACUCCUACUGGAUGCAGCAUGGGGGAAUAUUGGACAAUGGGCGACCGCCUGAUCCUGCCAUGCCGCGUGUGUGAAGAAGGUCUUCCGAUUGUAAACUACUUUAAGUUGGGAGGAAGGGCAGCAAACUAAUACCUUGCUGUUUUGACGUUACAGACCCAAUAAGCACCGGUUAACUCUGUGCCAGCACUCUCGNUGAUACGACGGUGCNGCGUUNUCGGAAUUACUGGGCGUAAACGCGCGUACGUGGUUUGCUNGUUGCAUGUGAAAGCCCCGGGCUCAACCUGGGAACUGCAUCCACACUGGCANCUNAGUACGGUAGAUGGGGCGGAAUUUCUGUGGACGNCGANUGCGUAGUAUCGAUGAACCCGAGGCCAAGGCCACCACUGUACUGAUACUGACACUGAGGUGCGNNAGCGUGGGGANCAAANCGAUUGAUACCCUGGUANCCACGCCGCAACGAUGUCAACUAGNCCUUGGAAUCCUUGAGAUUUCUGGCGCAUCUAACGCAUUCAGUUGACCCCUGUGAGUACGCCCGCAGGUAAAACCCAAUGAUUGACGNAGUNGCAAANGUNAGCUGUGAUAUUCAAUACAUAAACUUACAGCCUGACUGCGAUACUUCCGAAUGAUGUGCU